Molecule: ribosomal RNA, 248 nt
Filed under: Blastocystis sp.
Lineage: Eukaryota; Bigyra; Opalinata; Blastocystidae
Description: partial small subunit ribosomal RNA
Rfam family: Eukaryotic small subunit ribosomal RNA
Source: RNAcentral
AAUGGCUCAUUAUAUCAGUUAUAGUUUAUUUGAUGAAGAAUACUAAUUGGAUAACCGUAGUAAUUCUAGAGCUAAUACAUGUAUAAAGUCUUGUAGACUGCAUUUAUUAGAAUGAAAACCAUAGGUUUCGGCCUAUUCGUGAGUAAUAAUAACUAAUCAUAUCGUAUGCUUAUGUAACGAUGUGUCUUUCAAGUUUCUGCCCUAUCAGCUUUCGAUGGUAGUGUAUUGGACUACCAUGGCAGUAACGG